UACGUAGGGGGCAGGCGUUGUCCGGAAUCAUUGGGCGUAAAGAGCGUGUAGGCGGCCAGAUAAGUCCGCUGUGAAAACUCGAGGCUCAACUUCGAGCUGUCGGUGGAAACUAUUUGGCUAGAGUCCGGAAGAGGAGAGUGGAAUUCCUGGUGUAGCGGUGAAAUGCGCAGAUAUCAGGAAGAACACCCGUGGCGAAGGCGGCUCUCUGGUACGGAACUGACGCUGAGACGCGAAAGCGUGGGGAGCGAACAGG
Molecule: ribosomal RNA, 253 nt
Filed under: uncultured bacterium
Lineage: Bacteria
Description: partial 16S ribosomal RNA
Rfam family: Bacterial small subunit ribosomal RNA
Source: RNAcentral